AUCCCAGACCAAUAACAGCAACAUCCCAGGUGGGGCCGGUAUCUGUGUUUAUAAAGCUGCACAAGCAGGGAGGGGGCAGGCCCAGCAGCUCUGACCACAGGCUCAGCCCUCUGCUAGGUUAUGAAAUGGGCCCCAGUCGCUUCCUCCUGGGAGCCUUGUCCACACGGCCCUUAGCCCCAGCCUUCAGGCGUCACUUUAGGACCCGCAACCCCUGCCCACCAGGGAGGCGUCCCUGCUCAGAGCUCUGUGUGCCAGGUCUUUUCCUGUCUGCGCUCUCAUAAGGCACGUUUGAGCAUCGGAAUGAGGAAGUUUGCGUUUAUUUGGACCCUGGCCACCAACCUCUCCUGGCAAUGCCCCUUCCAUCUCUUCAGUGCCCUGCUGUGACACUCCACCUGUGGGAGAGUCUCUGCUCUAUUUUGAAGUUGCUCACUACUCCUGGCAUGUGGGAGACACCACGGGACCACAGAAGAAGGACCAGUCCCAACCCUGGCCACAUGCUCCCCAAACACACAGCCCAAGGGGCUGCAGCUCUGUGUCCUGACGUUACCGUCCUCUCUGGUUAUGCCCUCCUUUUAAAAUGUGGGAAAUGAGCAGUCAGUCUGCCGAAACACAGGGAGGAAGGGUCAUCUUGGUUUGGGUCUCCUUAAGAUGGGGUGGGGGCCAACCCAAGCUGGCCUUAAUUUCCAGGGGAGGAAAAACUGGUGAAGGUUCUCUCCUCCACUAGAAAACCAAUCCCAUGAGAACAAGGGCCUUGCUGUCCGCACUCACCACUCUAUCCACCCCUGGCAGUCUCUGGCACUCAGUAGGCACUCAAUAAACAGUACCUAUCAUCACCGAUUAUAAUCAGUCCCUAACAGACUCCCCAGAGCAAUAAAAACGAAUGUGACUUACAAAUCAUUCUACACACAAAAUUUUAGACACACGGCCAAUAUUAAAGUGAAACACAGCUGUUACAAACAGGCAGGAAGGAGACCUCUCCAGAUUACAGACCACCUGUGUGAAACCCAUUUUGACCACUUUAGGAGGAGCUGAGAAGACAGGGGAGGAAAUGAGGGGUUUUAGAGUGAUUGGACCAAACGUCCCCCCAAAUAAGAGCCCAUUUAUUCACUAGAGUCAGCUCCCAUCUUGAGAUGCCAGCUGGCAGUUUUGUCAGAUAAACCACCUUCUCCUCUUAUGUACAAACUCCACAUUUGACUUCUGCUUGAGAUACGAGCUCUUCAAGGACUGGCUUCACUCAUUCUAAAAACCUGAGCUCCUUUGGUGUAUUUCCUCCAGUAUAUUUUUCCUGCCUCGGCAGCAGGAAGGGCACUUUC
This 1313-nucleotide long non-coding RNA is filed under the name Equus caballus (horse). RNAcentral describes it as "lncRNA (ENSECAG00000056565.1)". The record is from RNAcentral. Lineage: Eukaryota; Metazoa; Chordata; Mammalia; Perissodactyla; Equidae.